Molecule: ribosomal RNA, 878 nt
Filed under: uncultured bacterium
Lineage: Bacteria
Description: bacterial SSU rRNA
Rfam family: Bacterial small subunit ribosomal RNA
Source: RNAcentral
GUCGAGGGGCAGCGGGGCGGCAGGCUUGCCUGCCGUUGCCGGCGACCGGCGCACGGGUGAGUAACACGUAUGCAACCUGCCCGUGGCAGGGGGAUAAGCGGGGGAAACCCCGUCUAAUACCGCGUAACGCGGCCAUGGGGCAUCCCCGGGCCGCCAAAGGGAGCAAUCCCGGCCACGGAUGGGCAUGCGGCGCAUUAGCUAGUCGGCGGGGUAACGGCCCACCGAGGCGACGAUGCGUAGGGGUUCUGAGAGGAAGGCCCCCCACACUGGUACUGAGACACGGACCAGACUCCUACGGGAGGCAGCAGUGAGGAAUAUUGGUCAAUGGGCGCGAGCCUGAACCAGCCAAGUCGCGUGAGGGAUGACGGCCCUACGGGUUGUAAACCUCUUUUGCCGGGGAGCAACGGGCGCCACGAGUGGCGCCACUGAGAGUACCCGGAGAAAAAGCAUCGGCUAACUCCGUGCCAGCAGCCGCGGUAAUACGGAGGAUGCGAGCGUUAUCCGGAAUGAUUGGGCGUAAAGGGUGCGUAGGCGGCCUGCUAAGUCUGGAGUGAAAGGUACCGGCUCAACCGGUACAGGCUCUGGAAACUGGCGGGCUAGAGAGCAGGAGAGGGCGGUGGAACUCCAUGUGUAGCGGUAAAAUGCGUAGAUAUAUGGAAGAACACCAGUGGCGAAGGCGGCCGCCUGGCCUGUUACUGACGCUGAGGCACGAAAGCGUGGGGAGCAAAUAGGAUUAGAUACCCUGGUAGUCCACGCAGUAAACGAUGAAUACUAAUUGUGUGCUCCGAAUGAGGAGUGCGUGAUACAGCGAAAGCGUUAAGUAUUCCACCUGGGGAGUACGCCGGCAACGGUGAAACUCAAAGGAAUUGACGGGGGCC